This 4515-nucleotide ribosomal RNA is filed under the name Triticum aestivum (bread wheat). Its description in RNAcentral is "partial small subunit ribosomal RNA". Lineage: Eukaryota; Viridiplantae; Streptophyta; Magnoliopsida; Poales; Poaceae. The record is from RNAcentral.
AUGGAGGUGGCCGCAGGCGCAGCACGAUGGGUGGUGGGCAAGGCGCUGGGCCCUGUCGCCGAUGGCUUGCUGGAGGCAUGGGCUGCGAGCAAGGAGCUAGGCCCUAACGUUGACGCGCUAAAGAUGGAGCUGCUCUACGUGCAGGGGAUGCUCAACAACACCCGCGGCCGAGACAUCGACAACCCUGCACUCAACGUGCUACUGCAGAAGCUGCGGGACCUCGCGUACAAUGCCGAGGAUGUGUUGGACGAGCUCGACUACUUCCGCAUCCAGGACCAGCUGGAGGGUACUUACGAGGCUGCCGACGAGCAUGCCAAGGGAUGCAUGUGCAACCUCUACCUCCACGCUCAUCACACCGCUAGAGCUGCUGGCAAACUGCUCUGCUUCUGUCCGUGCUCACGUGCGGCUGGUCAUAGUACUGAUCCGAGUGAGCAAAGGGAAGAAGAUACAAGGCAACAAGUACUCUGCUGCGCUUGGCCAUGUGCCAAGCAGCGGAGUGCACGCGGAAACACCCCGUCAGCGCCACACAACCACCAGGCCAACGAAGAGGUCAGAAGAUGCAUGCGCAAGCUCGCUUCUGGUGCUUGCAACACCAUCCGUCAUGUUGGUAAACUCCUCCAUUGCUCAUCCCUCCCAACUCAUGAUGAUGAUAGUUCUGUCAUGCCAGUCAUUUGCGGUGCCUGCAAGCACAAGGCAUCCCUGAAAAAGCAUGUGAAAGAAACUCCAAAACUAGAGUUUGAUAGGGUGGAUCUGUCUAAAAGAAUGAAGCAUAUUGUAGAGCAACUGCAGCCAGUAUGUGCAAAGGUCAAAGCCAUUCUUAAUCUAGAGUUGUUGGGUUCUAGCCAUACUACCGCCCCAAGCAUUGCCAAGAGUCCAUCCACCACCACCUCUGACAUUAUAGAGUCAACACUGUACGGGAGAGAAACUGCGAAGAAGAGCAUCAUAGAUAGUAUUACUCAUGUUAAAUAUAGUGACAAAGACCUAAUUAUCCUGCCAAUUGUUGGUUCGGGUGGCAUAGGGAAGACAACUCUCGUACAACACAUAUAUCACAGCCAAGAAGUGCAAAAACAUUUUCAGGUCAAGGUCUGGAUAUGUGUAUCUCAGAAUUUCAUUGUUAAUAAGCUGACUGAAGAGAUUGAAAAAGCAAUACCUAGUGUGGAAGGUGAAAAAGGGGGUAGAGCAGAAGUGUUAAUUGAACAGAGAUUAAAUUCUAAAAGGUUUCUGCUUGUAUUAGAUGAUAUUUGGAAGUGUGAAUCUGAGGACUGGGAAAGGCUUUUAGUACCACUCAGAAAAGGGCAGACAAAGGGCAAUAUAAUUUUAGUGACAACUCGGUUUCCAGCUGUAGCAGAAAUGGUUAAAACAACUGAUAGUUCAAUAGAUCUGAAGGGCUUAGAACAAGGAGUGUUUACAGAUUUUUUUCGAGCAUGCAUUUUUCGUGAUAAGCAAUCACAAAAAGAUCAUCAUGGGUUACUUGAGAUUGGGGAUAAGAUAGCAGAAAAGCUAAAGGGAUCCCCUCUUGCAGCAAAAACUGUAGGUAGAUUAUUGAGAAACCACCUUGAUGUGUAUCAUUGGAAUAGAGUCCUAGAAAGUAGAGAAUGGGAAAUGCAGACCGGUGAGCGUGACAUUAUGCCUGCAUUGAAACUUAGCUAUGAUUAUCUGUCUUUUCAUCUGCAGCAAUGUUUUUCUCGUUGUGCUUUAUUUCCUGAAGAUUACGAGUUUAACAGUGAAGAGCUCAUUCAUUUCUGGAUAGGACUGGAUAUUUUGCCUUCUGGUGAUCGAAAUAAAACAGUUGAAGAUGUAGGUGUGGACAUUUUAAAUGAUUUGGUCAACCAUGGAUUUUUCAAAAAAGAUGAAACUGGUGGGCAUCCAUAUUAUAUCAUUCAUGACCUGCUGCAUGAUUUAGCUUUGAAGGUUGCAUCUCAUGAAUGUCUUAGUUUGCAUCACUCUAAUGUAAGAUCAGUAGAAAUUAGGCCAUCUAUCCGUCACUUAUCGAUCAUAAUAGAUGGUCCAGAUGAUAGUAAUGGAAUUACUGAUGAGACCUUUAAGAGUGAGUUGAGGAAACUUAAGACAAAAUUGAAGGUUGAAAACUUGCAAACAUUAAUUAUAUUUGGAGGAGAAGAUGAAAGCUUUGUCAGCAUAUUUGGUGAUCUGUUCAUGGAAGCAAAUGCUCUCCGUGUUCUUUGUUUGCCCACAUUGUCAUAUCCCCUGGAAUCCAUGUUGCAUAACUUUUCAUCACUUCUGCACCUACGAUUCCUAAAGCUAGGGACUUCAAUCAGCCAGAUGCAUUUACCAACAACCUUAUCCCGAUUUUAUCAUUUGAAGAUAUUGGAUCUACAAGAAUGGGAUGGUUCUUUACUUUUACCUAGAGACAUGAGUAACCUUGCAAAAUUGUGCCAUUUUCUUGCCCAAUAUGGUGAUCUUUAUUCGGGUAUUUAUAAUGUCGGGAAACUAAAACUCUUACAGGAGUUAAAGGUUUUUGCAGUCAAUAAAGAAAGUGAAGGGUUUGAACUAAAUCAACUAGAGCAUCUCAACGAGAUAAGAGAGCUUGGGAUUUAUAACCUUGAGAAAAUACAUACCAAAGACAAAGCAGUUGAAGCAAAACUGAUAGACAAAAACUACUUGCACAAGUUAACAUUAUGUUGGGAUAGUGAGCGGUCCAAUAUUGAAUCCGAUGUGGAAGCAGUGGUUCUAGAGAGCCUUCGACCACAUAGAAAUCUUCAAGAGUUGUGCAUUAGAGGACACAGAGGUCCUUGUCCAGCGUGGUUGGGUGAUAAGCUCGUUGUUGAGGCUCUACAGACUCUUUGUCUGGUUGGUGUUUCUUGGGGUGUUUUUCCUUCUUUGGGGAAGAUGUGGGAUCUUCGUGAACUAACAGUGGAGAAUAUUGCCACAAUAAAGGAGUUUAGUCUAGAGCAAAGCUUUUGCAAGCUAGUAAAACUUACACUCGUGGACUUAGAAAAUUUUGAAAAAUGGGUACCACUGGCCACUCAUUUGUUCCCUUGUUUGCAAGAAUUGACUAUUAUAGAUUGCCCUAAACUCUCGGAGUUGCCAUGUUCAAGCCACAUUGUUUACCCACUGAAACAAGACUGGAACAUAGAUUGGUUUCCCAAACUACAAAAACUCAGGAUAGAAAAUUGCCCUGGAGUCUUCCUACUGCCUCCUAUCCCUUGGACUCAUACUUUGAGCAACGUCUCGAUAAGUGGCGUGGGAUCAAAGCUACCAAACCAGUUAGUCUACUCUAGAGUAGCAUUACAAAUUACUGGAAAGGAUGGUAUGCAUAGCUUAGAUCAGCUGUUACUAUUCAGUCAACUAACAGAACUUCAGGAAUUGGAGUUCGAAAAGUGCCCACCUUUGAAGCUGGAGCAUUUUCUAAUGUUAACCUCAUUGAAGAGAUUGUGGGCAUGGUCGUCAAAUCAUCGCGUGUUGCCAUCAGAAGUUCAGAGUGGUGUCCAAUGGCAGCAUCCUGUCGAGGACAUUCUUAUUUGCAGAUCUCGUUCUAGUGGAAAGGAAUUGACACAGUUCUUAUCUCACCUCCCAAAGCUAUCCAAACUGGGAUUAUAUAGUUGUGAAAACAUAACACAGGUUGCUGUGGGGGUGGAUUUGCAGCAAACAAGAGCACCAGUAGUAUCAUCGUCAACCUCUUCAGAUGUUACAAUGGAUGAUACACUAGCAAAAGAUGAGCUGCAAGAAAUAGCAGAGGUGGAGGAGGUGGGGGCAAACACGGUGGAUGAUGAUGGGCUGUUGGUCCUCCCUGCACAUCUCUCCAACUCUCUGCAGGCGUUGGACAUCAGAAGUGGUGGUCUGGUAGUUCAUUCCCUCGAUGCUCUCAAAGCCCUAACUACCCUGGAGUUAAAAGAUUGUUCUUUUCGCCACCCUUUCCCGUCCUCCCUGCUAGCCCUGGAACUUACGUCCGUAAACGGCGUGCUGACCCUUUCAAACCUCACCUCUCUCACCCGAUUGUGCAUAUAUCGUUGCAAAGAGGAUUUAAGAUGCGAGGGCCUGUUGCCUCUCCUUACUCGGGGCCACCUCAGCCAUUUAGAUGUCCAACGAAUCCCCAAUUUCUUUGGUGCGUGGGACCCUAUGUGGGGGAUGCAGGAGGAGCAAAAUAAGAGGACAGAAUCCAAACUGCAGUAUCUCAAGACAGAUGACAUGGAGGGCUUCCUCGAUGCGCCCGCCCUCUGUAGCCUCCUCUCUUCCUCCCUCACAUCGUUGGACUUUAUUGGGAACCGAGAGAUGGCGCGCUUCACAAAGGAGCAGGAGGAGGCCUUUCAACGCCUCACCUCGCUCCAGGAACUCCAGUUUCGGUUUUGCGACGAGUUGGAGCACCUCCCUGCAGGGCUAAACAAGCUGACCAACCUCAAGAUAUUAGGGAUCUGGAGGUGUCCAGCCCUCCGGUCGCUGCCCAAGGAUGGCCUCCCGAGUUCACUACGAGAAUUAGAUGUCCAGUAUUGCGGCAACGACGAGCUAACAGAGCAGUGCAAGCGGUUAAUGGGAACCAUCCCAGAAAUCAAACUAUAG